This 500-nucleotide ribosomal RNA is filed under the name uncultured bacterium. RNAcentral's name for it is "partial 16S ribosomal RNA". It matches the Rfam family "Bacterial small subunit ribosomal RNA", at positions 30 to 523 of the family's 1533-position model. The record is from RNAcentral.
AUUGAACGCUGGCGGAAUGCUUUACACAUGCAAGUCGAACGGCAGCACGGACUUCGGUCUGGUGGCGAGUGGCGAACGGGUGAGUAAUGUAUCGGAACGUGCCCAGUCGUGGGGGAUAACGUAGUGAAAAUUACGCUAAUACCGCAUACGAUCUAUGGAUGAAAGCGGGGGAUCGCAAGACCUCGCGCGAUUGGAGCGGCCGAUAUCAGAUUAGGUAGUUGGUGGGGUAAAGGCCCACCAAGCCAACGAUCUGUAGCUGGUCUGAGAGGACGACCAGCCACACUGGAACUGAGACACGGUCCAGACUCCUACGGGAGGCAGCAGUGGGGAAUUUUGGACAAUGGGCGAAAGCCUGAUCCAGCCAUUCCGCGUGCAGGAUAAAGGCCCUCGGGUUGUAAACUGCUUUUGUACAGAACGAAAAGGUUUCUACUAAUACUAGGAGCUCAUGACGGUACUGUAAGAAUAAGCACCGGCUAACUACGUGCCAGCAGCCGCCGUAA